CGAUCCCCGGGGCCUUCCCCCGCGGGCACGCGUUCGGGAACUGGUCUCUCCCUGAGAGACCGGUCCUCGGGAGAUCGGUUCCUCUCGGAGAGACCGGUUCCCGAGAGUUGAACUUCCGGGACUUAGCCGAUUUUCGGCCAUUCUCGAGGGUGUCGUAGGCUGGGACCGGUCCCUCCUCUGCCAGGGACCGGCUGCAUCAGUAACCCCGCAGCCCACCGCCGAUGGAAGCGGUCUCUCACCUCCAGAGACCGGUCCCCGAGAG
Molecule: long non-coding RNA, 262 nt
Filed under: Ananas comosus (pineapple)
Lineage: Eukaryota; Viridiplantae; Streptophyta; Magnoliopsida; Poales; Bromeliaceae
Description: long non-coding RNA (ACOM_LNC042360)
Source: RNAcentral